Molecule: ribosomal RNA, 905 nt
Filed under: Bacillus siamensis
Lineage: Bacteria; Bacillati; Bacillota; Bacilli; Caryophanales; Bacillaceae
Description: bacterial SSU rRNA
Rfam family: Bacterial small subunit ribosomal RNA
Source: RNAcentral
UGCAGUCGAGCGGACAGAUGGNNNCUUGCUCCCUGAUGUUAGCGGCGGACGGGUGAGUAACACGUGGGUAACCUGCCUGUAAGACUGGGAUAACUCCGGGAAACCGGGGCUAAUACCGGAUGGUUGUUUGAACCGCAUGGUUCAGACAUAAAAGGUGGCUUCGGCUACCACUUACAGAUGGACCCGCGGCGCAUUAGCUAGUUGGUGAGGUAACGGCUCACCAAGGCGACGAUGCGUAGCCGACCUGAGAGGGUGAUCGGCCACACUGGGACUGAGACACGGCCCAGACUCCUACGGGAGGCAGCAGUAGGGAAUCUUCCGCAAUGGACGAAAGUCUGACGGAGCAACGCCGCGUGAGUGAUGAAGGUUUUCGGAUCGUAAAGCUCUGUUGUUAGGGAAGAACAAGUGCCGUUCAAAUAGGGCGGCACCUUGACGGUACCUAACCAGAAAGCCACGGCUAACUACGUGCCAGCAGCCGCGGUAAUACGUAGGUGGCAAGCGUUGUCCGGAAUUAUUGGGCGUAAAGGGCUCGCAGGCGGUUUCUUAAGUCUGAUGUGAAAGCCCCCGGCUCAACCGGGGAGGGUCAUUGGAAACUGGGGAACUUGAGUGCAGAAGAGGAGAGUGGAAUUCCACGUGUAGCGGUGAAAUGCGUAGAGAUGUGGAGGAACACCAGUGGCGAAGGCGACUCUCUGGUCUGUAACUGACGCUGAGGAGCGAAAGCGUGGGGAGCGAACAGGAUUAGAUACCCUGGUAGUCCACGCCGUAAACGAUGAGUGCUAAGUGUUAGGGGGUUUCCGCCCCUUAGUGCUGCAGCUAACGCAUUAAGCACUCCGCCUGGGGGAGUACGGUCGCAAGACUGAAACUCAAAGGAAUUGACGGGGGCCCGCACAAGCGGUGGANCAUGU